RNAcentral lists this ribosomal RNA (426 nucleotides) under uncultured bacterium. RNAcentral's name for it is "bacterial SSU rRNA". It matches the Rfam family "Bacterial small subunit ribosomal RNA", at positions 355 to 773 of the family's 1533-position model. The record is from RNAcentral.
UGGGGAAUUUUGGACAAUGGGGGCAACCCUGAUCCAGCAAUGCCGCGUGAGUGAAGAAGGCCUUCGGGUUGUAAAGCUCUUUUGUCAGGGAAGAAAAGGGUCUGGCUAAUAUCCAGAUCUGCUGACGGUACCUGAAGAAUAAGCACCGGCUAACUACGUGCCAGCAGCCACGGUAAUACGUAGGGUGCAAGCGUUAAUCGGAAUUACUGGGCGUAAAGCGUGCGCAGGCGGUUUCGUAAGUCUGUCGUGAAAUCCCCGGGCUUAACCUGGGAAUGGCGAUGGAGACUGCGAGGCUAGAGUUUGGCAGAGGGGGGUAGAAUUCCACGUGUAGCAGUGAAAUGCGUAGAGAUGUGGAGGAACACCGAUGGCGAAGGCAGCCCCCUGGGUCAAAACUGACGCUCAUGCACGAAAGCGUGGGGAGCAAAC